Molecule: long non-coding RNA, 452 nt
Filed under: Coturnix japonica (Japanese quail)
Lineage: Eukaryota; Metazoa; Chordata; Aves; Galliformes; Phasianidae
Description: lncRNA (ENSCJPG00005002660.1)
Source: RNAcentral
GGGGGAUAUGGGGUCCCAAUGGGGGGAUAUGGUGGUCCCAGGGCUUAGUGGUGGGUCCUAGGGUUAAUAUGGGGUCCAGGGGUAAAUAAGAGCGCGGAGGGCAGGGAAGGGGUCCCACGGUGGUCCCAGGGGUGCUGAUAUGGGGGUCUCAGGGGGGAUAUGGGGGCCUGGAUAUGGGGGUCCCAUGGCGGAAUAUGGGGGUCCCAUGGGUGCAUGCUAUGGGGUCCCAGGGGGAAUAUGGGAGUCCCAGGGGGGUCCCAAGGGGGAUAUGGGGGUCCCAGGGUGAUAUGGGGGUCCCAGGGGGGUUCCCAGGGGGUGCUGCUAUGGGGGGGGCAUCAAGGGGGUCCCAGGGGGGGAUAUGGGGUCCCAGGGGGGUCCCAGGGUGAUAUGAGGUCCCAAGGGGGUCCUAGGAAGCAAUAUGAGGGUCCCAAGGGUUGAUUAUGGGGGUCCCA